Molecule: ribosomal RNA, 1501 nt
Filed under: uncultured bacterium
Lineage: Bacteria
Description: bacterial SSU rRNA
Rfam family: Bacterial small subunit ribosomal RNA
Source: RNAcentral
AGAGUUUGAUCCUGGCUCAGAUUGAACGCUGGCGGUAUGCUUAACACAUGCAAGUCGAACGGAAACGAAACUAGCUUGCUAGUAGGCGUCGAGUGGCGGACGGGUGAGUAACGCGUAGGAAUCUGCCUGAUAGUGGGGGAUAGCCCGAAGAAAUUCGGAUUAAUACCGCAUAAUCUAUUCGUAGUAAAGUGGGGGACUUUCGAGCCUCACGCUAUCAGAUGAGCCUGCGUAAGAUUAGCUUGUUGGUAGGGUAAAAGCCUACCAAGGCAACGAUCUUUAGCUGGUCUGAGAGGAUGAUCAGCCACAUCGGGACUGAGACACGGCCCGAACUCCUACGGGAGGCAGCAGUGGGGAAUAUUGGACAAUGGGGGCAACCCUGAUCCAGCAAUACCGCGUGUGUGAAGAAGGCCUGAGGGUUGUAAAGCACUUUCAAUUGUGAAGAAAAGUUAACGGUUAAUAACCGUUGACCUUGACGUUAACUUUAGAAGAAGCACCGGCUAACUCCGUGCCAGCAGCCGCGGUAAUACGGAGGGUGCAAGCGUUAAUCGGAAUUACUGGGCGUAAAGCGUGCGUAGGCGGUUUAUUAAGUCAGAUGUGAAAGCCCCGGGCUUAACCUGGGAACUGCAUUUGAAACUGGUCAACUAGAGUAUGGUAGAGGAAAGUGGAAUUUCUGGUGUAGCGGUGAAAUGCGUAGAUAUCAGAAGGAACAUCAAUGGCGAAGGCAGCUUUCUGGACCAAUACUGACGCUGAGGUACGAAAGCGUGGGUAGCAAACAGGAUUAGAUACCCUGGUAGUCCACGCCGUAAACGAUGAUAACUAGCCGUUGGGGGGAUUUACCCCUUAGUGGCGAAGCUAACGCGUUAAGUUAUCCGCCUGGGGAGUACGGCCGCAAGGCUAAAACUCAAAGGAAUUGACGGGGACCCGCACAAGCGGUGGAGCAUGUGGUUUAAUUCGAUGCAACGCGAAGAACCUUACCUGGUCUUGACAUCCUGCGAACUUUCUAGAAAUAGAUUGGUGCCUUCGGGAACGCAGUGACAGGUGCUGCAUGGCUGUCGUCAGCUCGUGUCGUGAGAUGUUGGGUUAAGUCCCGUAACGAGCGCAACCCCUAUCCUUAUUUGCCAGCACAUUAUGGUGGGAACUAUAAGGAGACUGCCGGUGAUAAACCGGAGGAAGGCGGGGACGACGUCAAGUCAUCAUGGCCCUUACGACCAGGGCUACACACGUGCUACAAUGGGAAGGACAAAGAGCCGCGAAGCCGCGAGGUGUAGCUAAUCUCAUAAAUCUUUUCGUAGUCCGGAUUGGAGUCUGCAACUCGACUCCAUGAAGUCGGAAUCGCUAGUAAUCGUAGAUCAGAAUGCUACGGUGAAUACGUUCCCGGGUCUUGUACACACCGCCCGUCAUACCAUGGGAGUGGGUUGCACCAGAAGUGGCUAGUCUAACUUUGUGAGGACGGUCACCACGGUGUGAUUCAUGACUGGGGUAAAGUCGUAACAAGGUAACC